Long non-coding RNA from Mastomys coucha (southern multimammate mouse), 909 nucleotides. RefSeq lists it as uncharacterized. The transcript is spliced from 2 exons. Lineage: Eukaryota; Metazoa; Chordata; Mammalia; Rodentia; Muridae. The record is from RefSeq and is a predicted model, not a curated record.
AUGGUUAAAAGGCAGCAGGAGAAUGGGAAGGGGGGAUCCCUUUGUUCUGUUCCAUGAUGAGGUUCCAAAGAAUGUUAGGGAAACACAUUCUGCAUAGUAGAUGCUUUGAGAUGAAGCCCAGUGGCCAGCUUAGGUCCCAUACCUGAUCUAUCAGGAUAAAGGCCACCACAUGAAUCCUCUGUCUGCCUUCAAUGUAGCCUCCCUAGUACACAAUGGACCCCUCAUCUGCAUACAGGGCCAAUUUUUAACCCAUGAUGGAGCCAGAACUCAUUACCAGGUUGCCGUCACUGAGCUUUCUGGAAAGCAGACAUCAUCACCGCCCCUACUCCCUCCCCCACCCCCAGGGCUGGAUCCUAAUCUCUGAUGCAGACGCACAGUGACGCAGGAUGACGUCUUGUCACUAUGACCAUGCUGCUAUUCCAAAGGACACGGUACAUUACAGGUGUGACCAUGAAGGAGAAGGGCUUUUAACACUGUAGGAAUCCACCCAAGGCACAGGAAGAUAACUAAAGAGCAGCUUCCUUGGGGCAGGAGAAGGACAGAAAUGGCAGCUACCCUUGAGAGGGUUACAAUGAAGAGUGUGGGGUGUGUGGACCAUGACACAAGAGAAACCCGCAUGGAACUGGUGAAGUGGAGCAUGGUCAAACCCCAGAAAUCUCAAAACUUGAGACCAUCAGGAGUGGAAUUAGUUCCCCUACUUCUAUGCCUGUCUUGGGACUCAUAACCAGAUGACCCCCAACCAGGUAGUCACUGGCAGUCAGUCACCUAGCACCCGGAUUGCCUCUCCAUGCUAAUGAGGCAUCUCAGUACCUUAGCUUUCAGCUAAUGACCUUUUCCCAUCCUGGAUAUUCUCACCCCAAAAUUGUAUAACCCUUGGUUCUUCCUGAAUAAAGUGUAUGUGUUCCAACU